This 353-nucleotide ribosomal RNA is filed under the name uncultured bacterium. RNAcentral's name for it is "bacterial SSU rRNA". It matches the Rfam family "Bacterial small subunit ribosomal RNA", at positions 917 to 1289 of the family's 1533-position model. The record is from RNAcentral.
GGACCCGCACAAGUAGUGGAGCAUGUGGUUUAAUUCGAAGAUACGCGCAGAACCUUACCAACACUUGACAUGUUCGUCGCGACUUUAAGAGAUUAAAGUUUUCGGUUCGGCCGGACGAAACACAGGUGCUGCAUGGCUGUCGUCAGCUCGUGUCGUGAGAUGUUGGUUAAGUCCCGCAACGAGCGCAACCCUCACUUUUAGUUGCCAUCAUUUAGUUGGGCACUCUGAAAGAACUGCCAGUGAUAAGCUGGAGGAAGGUGGGGAUGACGUCAAGUCCUCAUGGCCCUUACGUGUUGGGCUACACACGUGCUACAAUGGUAGUGACAAUGGGUUAAUCCCAAAAAUGCUAUCUC